GGGCCCUUAGUUCAGCUGGGAGAACGCUUCCAUGGCAUGGAAGAGGUCGUCGGUUCGAGCCCGAUAGGGUCCACCA
Molecule: transfer RNA, 76 nt
Filed under: Candidatus Onthovivens merdipullorum
Lineage: Bacteria; Bacillati; Bacillota; Bacilli; Caryophanales
Description: tRNA-Ala
Rfam family: tRNA
About the family: Transfer RNA (tRNA) molecules are approximately 80 nucleotides in length. Their secondary structure includes four short double-helical elements and three loops (D, anti-codon, and T loops). Further hydrogen bonds mediate the characteristic L-shaped molecular structure. tRNAs have two regions of fundamental functional importance: the anti-codon, which is responsible for specific mRNA codon recognition, and the 3' end, to which the tRNAs corresponding amino acid is attached (by aminoacyl-tRNA synthetases). tRNAs cope with the degeneracy of the genetic code in two manners: having more than one tRNA (with a specific anti-codon) for a particular amino acid; and 'wobble' base-pairing, i.e. permitting non-standard base-pairing at the 3rd anti-codon position.
Source: RNAcentral